GCAAGUCGAACGGAAGCGUUACAAUAGAAGCUGAUUGAAGAUUAUCAGAUUGAAGUGGAAAUUGUAACAAUGGCUUAGUGGCGGACUGGUGAGUAACACGUAAAGCAACCUACCUAUGAGAGGGGAAUAACAGUGAGAAAUCAUUGCUAAUACCGCAUAAGCUUGUAAUAUUGCAUGAUAUAGCAAGAAAAGGAGCAGUCCGCUCAUAGAUGGGCUUGCGGCUGAUUAGCUAGUUGGUGUGGUAACGGCAUACCAAGGCAACGAUCAGUAGCCGAGCUGAGAGGCUCAUCGGCCACAUUGGGACUGAGAUACGGCCCAGACUCCUACGGGAGGCAGCAGUCGGGAUAUUGCGCAAUGGAGGAAACUCCUGACGCAGUGACGCCGCGUAUAGGAAGAAGGUUUUAGGAUUGUAAACUAUUUUAGACAGGGAAGAAAAAAGACAGUACCUGUAGAAUAAGCUCCGGCUAACUACGUGCCAGCCGCUGC
RNAcentral lists this ribosomal RNA (486 nucleotides) under uncultured bacterium. Its description in RNAcentral is "bacterial SSU rRNA". It matches the Rfam family "Bacterial small subunit ribosomal RNA", at positions 57 to 518 of the family's 1533-position model. The record is from RNAcentral.